GGGUUUAGUGGCGGACGGGUGAAGUAACGCGUGAGAAUCUCCCUUCAGGAUGGGGACAACCGUUGGAAACGACGGCUAAUCCCCAAUGUGCCGAGAGGUGAAAGGGUUUCCGCCUGAAGAAGAGCUCGCGUCCGAUUAGUUAGUUGGUGAGGUAAGAGCUCACCAAGGCAGCGAUCGGUAGCUGGUCUGAGAGGAUGAGCAGCCACACUGGGACUGAGACACGGCCCAGACUCCUACGGGAGGCAGCAGUGGGGAAUUUUCCGCAAUGGGCGAAAGCCUGACGGAGCAACGCCGCGUGUGGGAAGAAGGCUCUUGGGCUGUCAACCACUUUUCUCAGGGAAGAAGACCUGACGGUACCUGAGGAAUCAGCCUCGGCUAACUCCGUGCCAGCAGCCGCGGUAAUACGGAGGAGGCAAGCGUUAUCCGGAAUUAUUGGGCGUAAAGCGUCCGCAGGGGGCGCAUCAAGUCUGCUGUUAAAGGCUGGAGCUUAACUCCGGUAGAGCAGUGGAAACUGGUGCGCUAGAGGGCGACAGGGGCAGAGGGAAUUCCCAGUGUAGCGGUGAAAUGCGUAGAGAUUGGGAAGAACACCGGUGGCGAAAGCGCUCUACUGGGUCGCACCUGACCCUCANGGACGAAAGCUAAGGUAGCGAAAGGGAUUAGAUACCCCUGUAGUCUUAGCCGUAAACGAUGGAUACUAGGCGUGGCUUGUAUCGACCCAAGCCGUGCCGAAGCUAACGCGUUAAGUAUCC
RNAcentral lists this ribosomal RNA (749 nucleotides) under uncultured bacterium. RNAcentral's name for it is "bacterial SSU rRNA". It matches the Rfam family "Bacterial small subunit ribosomal RNA", at positions 88 to 869 of the family's 1533-position model. The record is from RNAcentral.